Molecule: long non-coding RNA, 1116 nt
Filed under: Callithrix jacchus (white-tufted-ear marmoset)
Lineage: Eukaryota; Metazoa; Chordata; Mammalia; Primates; Cebidae
Description: lncRNA (ENSCJAG00000081770.1)
Source: RNAcentral
UCCAUUGUAUCUUAUAUAUACACUAUAUCACUUCUUUGGAUUUUCAAUUUACUAGGUCAAAAAUUUCCCUUAACAGCAACAAUAAAAAAUAAUAUGUGUAGAUGUUUCUCAUGGUGGGAGGUGGGAAUUAAUUCUUCAAGCAUCAAAAAGGAACCGUAAUGUUGUAGAAAUGUGUCCAAGUUCAACAACUUGGAAAAUUAACUUAUGUGCCUGGAUUGUAUUGACUUAUCUGCUGUUCCUUCUCUAGAACGAGUUAGAAACACUCGAGAUUUUGCAAAUAAGGAACCCAUCUGUCCAUUUGGUCAUCAAGAAGUUGGGGGUCUCUUUCAAGUUUUCUGAGAAAAGUCAUUUCAACGCUCUGAAAAAGUGCCCCCAGUACUUUCACAAGAAAUUCCAAGGUCAUUCAGCCUGGGCCAAAGGGAAAAGAAAGUUAUUUUUUAAUUAAGAAAUCUAUGCAAAAGCGAAAUGCCUUUGGUGUAAGUCCUCUCCGAGUCGCUUAGAGACAUGAGGAAAUCUGCUGGAGCUAAGCUAUCUUUAAUAACACCAAUUCUUCUGCGAGCCCCUCCCAGGUGGGCUUGCAUCUAGGCCCCCCAGCGGGAGGCACCUCUGCGGAAUUGAACAUGGACCUCACGAGGCUGAGUCGUCUGCAGCCAGGAGACGACAUCCCUGCGGCUCCUGGAGCCACGCGUUACCGGCGCGCACUUACACCUGGCACCGGAAUGGGCGGUGUCAUAAAAGAAGAAAAGACCAAUUCAUCAACAGUGCUUUCAGGGUGGGCUCAGUAGCUCACAGCUGUAAUCCCAGCACUUUGAGAGACCAAGGUGGAAGUAUUGCUUGAGGCUAGAAGUUUGAGAUAAGCCUGGCCAACAUAGCAAGACCUCCAUCUCUAUAAAACAAGACAAAAGAAAAAAGACAAAAAAAAAAAAAAAAAAAAAAAAGGAUUGCUUUCAUUUUCCCAGAAGGGGCUGCACUUUGAAAUAAAAAGUAGUUUGAAUUCCAUGCCUGUCUUAGUCCAUUUUGUGUUGCUACAGCAGAAUACCUGGGUAAUUUACCAUGAACAGAAAUUUAUGUUCUCACAGUUCUGGAGGCUGGGAAGUCCAAGAUCAAGGCUCUGGC